GUGGGCGUCGUAUAAUGGUUAUUACAAGGCCUUGCCAAGGCUUAAAUGGCGGUUCGAUCCCGCUCGCCCGCUCCA
RNAcentral lists this transfer RNA (75 nucleotides) under Phytoplasma sp. RNAcentral describes it as "tRNA-Gly". It matches the Rfam family "tRNA". Rfam says of the family: Transfer RNA (tRNA) molecules are approximately 80 nucleotides in length. RNAcentral also lists the same sequence under 2 other names. The record is from RNAcentral. Lineage: Bacteria; Bacillati; Mycoplasmatota; Mollicutes; Acholeplasmatales; Acholeplasmataceae.